CGGUAGGGGGCAAGCGUUGUCCGGAAUCAUUGGGCGUAAAGCGCGUGUAGGCGGUCCGGUAAGUCGGCUGUGAAAGUCCAGGGCUCAACCCUGGGAUGCCGGUCGAUACUGCCGGACUAGAGUUCGGAAGAGGCGAGUGGAAUUCCCGGUGUAGCGGUGAAAUGCGCAGAUAUCGGGAGGAACACCAAUGGCGAAGGCAGCUCGCUGGGACGUUACUGACGCUGAGACGCGAAAGCGUGGGGAGCAAACAGGAUUAGAUACCCUGGUAGUCCACGCCGUAAACGAUGGGCACUAGGUGUGGGAGGUGUCGACUCCUCCCGUGCCGGAGCUAACGCAUUAAGUGCCCCGCCUGGGGAGUACGGCCGCAAGGCUA
Molecule: ribosomal RNA, 373 nt
Filed under: uncultured organism
Description: bacterial SSU rRNA
Rfam family: Bacterial small subunit ribosomal RNA
Source: RNAcentral